GGAAAGGAAAAGGGAAAAAAGAAAAGAAAAGAGAAAAGAGCAGGUCUCUGAGAGACACCAAAUACAACAAAACAAAGUACUAUAAGACAAGGCAAAAACCCCUCAUAACUGGACAAGGCAGCCCAACAGAAUGGAAAGAAUCCCAAGAGCAGACAAAUGAGUCAGCAGCACACCUACCCCCACUGUUGGGAAUCCCACAAGCUAACAGCCACAACGUGUACUUAGAGGCCCUGCACUUGCUACUUCAGGCUCUGUGAGCCCAUGUGAGCCCUGUUUAGUUAAUUCAGCAGCCUGUGUUCCCCUGGCAUCUUCCAUUUCCUCUGACUCCUACAAUCUUUCCUCUGUCUUUUCCAUGGGAUUCCCCACACUCUGAGGGGAGGGACUCGAUGGAGACUUCCAAUUUAGACUUUCUCUUCACAUCAUGUUCAAGUGUGGACCUCUGCAUCUGCUCCCAUAUCUACCUGAGGAAGCUUCUCUGAUGAUGACUGGACAAGGCACCAAUCUAUGAGUGUAGUAAAAUAUCAUUAGGAAUCAUUUUGUUGAUUUUUCCUUUUUUUUUUUUAAUUUAUUGUUUUCUUGUUGGAGCAGUUGUGUUUGGUCCUACCCUGGUCUCUUGGCUCUCCGGUUUCCCAUUUGGGGUCAUUCAAGCAGUGUUGGGAAUGGACUCCCAUGGAGUGGGCUUCAAGUUAAGUCAGAUAUUAGUUGACCACCAUUGUCCCAGCAUAUCUUGUAGGCAGAUUGUAGGUAAAGGUUUUAUGGCUGGGUUGGUGCCCAUGUCUCUCUUUUAGUAACCUGCAGUGUACCUUCCCACACCAAAGAGACUAGAAUGUAGGUGUGAAGGCACCAUGUAGGUACCAGCCUGACCUCUCCAUGUUCAAUGAGCUGUGUGGAUGACCUUGGCAAUGGGGCCCACUGUGACUUUGAGAAGAGCAACCCUCUGUCCUAGUAUCAGCUUGGGUUGUUUGGGGAUCUCCGGAGGACCUCCUUGGCCAACAACUCAAUUGAACGCAACGCAGUCCUGCCACCGGGAGCCUUGCCUGGCUACAAGAGAUUGUCAGUUCAGGCUCUGUAUCCCCUGUUACUAGUAGUCAUUAGUCAGCCUCAUAGAUUCAGGGAGUUUCCACUGCACCAGGUUUCCACACCAUUCCCCCAAAUGCCCUCCAAUUCCCAGCUGCCUCUCCCCACACUCUUCCCACCAUCUCCCUCCAGCACCCGAUUCUUCCCAGUCCCAUCCCCACCGGCUCCCAGUCCACCCACAAAAUCAAUUCUAUUUCUGUUGCUCUAGCCUUGACCUCCCCAAGACAGUCCUUGGGGGUAGGGGGUAAGAGGGUUUGGAAAGAUUCCGGGGUGAGGAGCGGAAAGAGACUUAUUGUAAUAGUGAAAAGUGCCUUUAUACACUCCGUCCACGUCCCCUUGGCCCAUAACUGCUUGUCACACGCAACUGGCACCAGUCAAUUGGUUGUCCUGGUCACACACUCUGUCCUUGUUUCCCAGUGCCAGGCAGGUUCCAGGGUGAGUGCAGAAGUACCUGCUGCGCAUGCGUGGGCCAUGGUUUUGGCAGGUAGGGGAGGGGGCACUAGUCAGAACAAGCUGACUCACUCCCAUGCGUGCCCUCUAGAGCCUUUCUCUUCACCUAACACCUCUGGGUCUAUGGAUUGUACCUCGGGUAUCACUUACGUAACAGCUAAGAUCUACUUAUAAGUAAAUACAUACCAUGUUUGUGUUUCUGGGUCUCGAUUACCUCACUCGGGAUGAUUUUUUUCCUAGUUCCAUCCAUUUGCCUGCAAAUUUCAUAAUGUCAUUUUCUUAAACAACUGAGCAAUACUCUGUUGUGUAGAUGUACCACAUUUUCCUUUUCUGUUCUUCAGUUAAAAGACAUCUAGGUUGUUUCCAGUUUCUGGCUAUUGUGAGUAAAGGUACAUUGAGCAGAGCCGAGCACGUGUCCUUGUGGCAGGGUGGAGUGUAGUUUGGGUAGAUGCCCAAGAGUAGUAGAGCUGGGCUUUGAUUCCUGGGACUUGCUAAUAAGUCAAGGUAGUGGGCAUGACUCAGGCUUGGGGUUUUGAGAACUCAAUAUUUUAAUUAGUCUUCCAGGCACUUUCAUUACAAUAUAAAGUUUGACAAGCUGAGAUUAAGAAUCAUUAGAAUCUAUUUCUGAGCCAGAUGUGGGUCUGCUUUACUUAAGGUGUCUUGAUAAUGGAGGGAAAAUAGACUUGCCUGUGAAGGGAACUGUGACUACACAGUGUGAUGCAGACAGCAACACCCUUAGGGGGUGCUUAGAAUCACCGGAGACUCCUUGAGUCACUCAGGACUCCAAACAUCCCAACUCAACAACUCUACUGGGAAUCUAGUGCAAUACCAUUUAAAUUAUCAGCUUCAUGAAGGCAGAAUCUUAGCCCUGAUCAUACUUGGCAGGAUACCUCAUAUACAGUAGGAACCUCGGGCUUAAUGGCAUGUAUUCCGCUCACAAAUAUAAUUUCCAUUUGGGUGUGAUGGGAAGAAGGGUUGGGAGAUGGAAGAGUCUGGAGAUGUGCCUCUGUCCUAUGCAGAGAGAUAUAUCAUUUUUCUAUUGAAUGGCCAUAUGGUAUCCAGUCCAGAAGCAUUGGAUUUGGAGUCAUGCGACCUGCCUUGGCCCGGGGUCAUAGCUUCUGAACAUUGCUGAGUUUCAGGUUUCUCUCUUCUGAAACAUGAAGAUUAAUGCCUGUCUGGCUGCCUACCUGUUCAAACCACCUACUUCAUGGAGCUGUGUGUGGAGACAGAUGACCCCUGAACAGGUGUGGAGCGCUGCUGUGCACCCCACACACACCUCUGUGCUCCAUCCCCACCUCAGGCUCCUCUGCCCAUCCUCCUAUGAUGCACACGUAUACCUCAAAAGCUGCCGUGUUCUCUACUUCUGCUCAGGCCAUCACACUGACCCUGCCUUUGAACGCUAUCUGUCAACAAUUCUAAGUUAGCUUCAAAAUGCAGCAAGGUACCAGAUGUCCUGCUACAAAUCUCUUCUGCCUAAACUAGUCCACGGGGCAGCCUUAUAGCCAUGGCUCUUGAUGAGCAUGUCUUCGAGCUGUGGCUCAGCUCUUCAGAUAUUUUUCAUACCCACCCUGUUUGUAUCUCAUUAAGAGAUUUCUAAGCUCUAAGUAAAUUAAAGGCCUUGGCUCAUUCUCUAGCAUCUACAGUACUUUGAUACAUUUUUACAUUACUUAACAUGUUCAAUAGUUGCAAGGUUUGUACACAUAGCAUUGUGAUUAUGUUAGUCUACAACCUAUUUUCUCUCCUCUACAAUUAAAAAAAAAAUACCUGCACUGGCACAUAGAUCUAGUCCAUCCAUUUUGACUGUUACAAAAUGCCAUAUUAAGUAAUUUAACAUUGCUAAUGCCAGAGAUAGAUACUAGGUCAUUUCCCUUUUACCAUUAGUACCUGACAUCUCCAGAUGUGUUUUCAUUAAAUUCUGCACCUGCUUCAAGUGGACAGCUAAAUCAUGAAGGAAGACUAUGGUCAAUCUGACUAGCAUGCUUCCCAGUGGUGACAUCACCCUGAGUUCUCCCCAGUCCAGCUCAGGAAUGCCCAAAUUUCACAUCCUUAUCAAUACUUGGCAUUAUGAUAGGUAAAUAUUUUGUUAAUCUGUUGAAAUAAAAAUAACAUGAUUUUGUUUAAUUUUUAUUUCCUUGAUUCCCACUGCAAUUGAGCUAUUCUUUUGUUUCGAUGACCAAUUGUUUGUCUCCUCUGUGAAACUGGUCAUUCUUAAGUCUUACCAUGUCUCUUAAGUUGGUCUCAUGUCCCCUGAUUUGUUUUGAGUUAUUUAUGAAUUCCAAACUCUUUAUUUUUUCAGUCACAUGUGUUUUGUGGACAGCCAAAGCAAUCUUGAACAAGAGGAAAAUACUGCUGGGAGCAUUACUAUGCUAUGCUAGGGAGCCAUAGCAAUGAGAUAGCAUGUUACUGGCACAAAAACAGAUCAGUGGAGCAGACUGGAGGAUCCAGAUAUAAAUUCGAACAGUCUCAGCUAAAGAUUUUGGUUUUGGCAAGGCUAAACCACACUGGAGAAGUGACAAAAUCUUCAGCAAAUAGUGCUAAGAAAACUAUAAAUCAACAUGCUCAAGACUGAAAUAGAUCCUGCACAAAUUCUGCUCCAAAUGGCUUACGGAGCUAAGCAUAAGGACC
Molecule: long non-coding RNA, 4152 nt
Filed under: Mus musculus (house mouse)
Lineage: Eukaryota; Metazoa; Chordata; Mammalia; Rodentia; Muridae
Description: long non-coding RNA chr6:54309275-54313427
Source: RNAcentral